Molecule: ribosomal RNA, 389 nt
Filed under: uncultured bacterium
Lineage: Bacteria
Description: bacterial SSU rRNA
Rfam family: Bacterial small subunit ribosomal RNA
Source: RNAcentral
GACGAACGCUGGCGGCGUGCUUAACACAUGCAAGUCGAGCGGUAAGGCCCUUUCGGGGGUACACGAGCGGCGAACGGGUGAGUAACACGUGGGUGACCUGCCCUCAGCUCUGGGAUAAGCCUGGGAAACCGGGUCUAAUACUGGAUAUGACUCCAUGACGCAUGUUGUGGGGUGGAAAGCCUUGUGCGGCUGAGGAUGGGGCCCCGCGGCCUAUCAGCUUGUUGGUGGGGUGAGGCCUACCAAGGCGACGACGGGUAGCCGGCCUGAGAGGGCGACCGGCCACACUGGGACUGAGACACGGCCCAGACUCCUACGGGAGGCAGCAGUGGGGAAUCUUGCGCAAUGGGCGAAAGCCUGACGCAGCGACGCCGCGUGAGGGAUGACGGCCU